This 652-nucleotide long non-coding RNA is filed under the name Coturnix japonica (Japanese quail). RNAcentral's name for it is "lncRNA (ENSCJPG00005014831.1)". The record is from RNAcentral. Lineage: Eukaryota; Metazoa; Chordata; Aves; Galliformes; Phasianidae.
GCCUGCCUCACCCUUCUAUUAGGUGUCUGCUUGCAAUUCUCUAAGUGAUAGCAAGGCAGUAGGCUUCAGUUUCCUAAAGGUGAACACCUGUGCUAGGAAUGCUCAUAAAAGCAAGGGAGUACAGACCCAUGAGCAGUCCUUGGCUGCUCCCUGCACAAGUAGCUUCUCCAUCAAGUGCUGUGGGAAACAGAGGGCUGUGAUGAGCCUGGAUCUUCAGCUGAGCAGUGUCCUGAUGCCAAACAGAAGAAUAUUUCCUGGCAGCAUCGUUUGUUGUAAGUCUUAAAAGAUAACUCGGAUCACAAAGAAAGAAAGUGGAGCACACACUCCAGCCUUUCCUCACCAUGAGGGCAGCUGAGCAAUUUCAAGUGGCAGCAGCAGGAGGUUGGCUCCUUUCCCUUGUUGGGAACUUCAAAACACCCCAAAGAAAGGAAUCUCCAAUAUCCAAUUAAGAGCAGGGAGACACCACAAAGGUCUACACGCACAGUGGUCACCAGGGAUGCAUGCCAGGCAUGUGCAGCACGUUAUGGAAUCAUCUGUGAGGAUAUAAAAGAUCGUGCAGCAAUAAAGACAACUCCAGAGAAAGCCAGAGUCCUGCUUUUUACCUGAAGACAUGCCUGGCUCCAACACAGCUCUUCAUUCAGUGCAGUUCCUG